This 69-nucleotide transfer RNA is filed under the name Marmota monax (woodchuck). Its description in RNAcentral is "tRNA.Ala". It matches the Rfam family "tRNA". Rfam says of the family: Transfer RNA (tRNA) molecules are approximately 80 nucleotides in length. Their secondary structure includes four short double-helical elements and three loops (D, anti-codon, and T loops). Further hydrogen bonds mediate the characteristic L-shaped molecular structure. tRNAs have two regions of fundamental functional importance: the anti-codon, which is responsible for specific mRNA codon recognition, and the 3' end, to which the tRNAs corresponding amino acid is attached (by aminoacyl-tRNA synthetases). tRNAs cope with the degeneracy of the genetic code in two manners: having more than one tRNA (with a specific anti-codon) for a particular amino acid; and 'wobble' base-pairing, i.e. permitting non-standard base-pairing at the 3rd anti-codon position. The record is from RNAcentral. Lineage: Eukaryota; Metazoa; Chordata; Mammalia; Rodentia; Sciuridae.
GGGGUUGUGGCUCAGUGGUAGAGCACUUGCCUAGCAUGUGAGGAAAUGGGUUCAAUCCUCAGCACCACA